CAGCCGCCACGGGAAUACGUAGGUGGCAAGCGUUGUCCGGAAUUAUUGGGCGUAAAGGGCUCGCAGGCGGUUUCUUAAGUCUGAUGUGAAAGCCCCCGGCUCAACCGGGGAGGGUCAUUGGAAACUGGGAAACUUGAGUGCAGAAGAGGAGAGUGGAAUUCCACGUGUAGCGGUGAAAUGCGUAGAGAUGUGGAGGAACACCAGUGGCGAAGGCGACUCUCUGGUCUGUAACUGACGCUGAGGAGCGAAAGCGUGGGGAGCGAACAGGAUUAGAUACCCCAGUAGUCCCUGUCUCUUAUAU
Molecule: ribosomal RNA, 301 nt
Filed under: uncultured bacterium
Lineage: Bacteria
Description: partial 16S ribosomal RNA
Rfam family: Bacterial small subunit ribosomal RNA
Source: RNAcentral